This 441-nucleotide long non-coding RNA is filed under the name Physcomitrium patens. RNAcentral's name for it is "long non-coding RNA (PPAT_LNC002605)". The record is from RNAcentral. Lineage: Eukaryota; Viridiplantae; Streptophyta; Bryopsida; Funariales; Funariaceae.
CAACUCUACACUCUCAAAAUACUGCUGAAAACACAAUAAUUUCUAUCCAACACCAGGAAUAAUAGACUUCACUCCAACAAUCUGAAUUCACAUACUUUCUGUAAUCACAGACUUCCUUUGUCCAAAACACACACAACUCUCAACAAACAACAAUCAUAAUCUUUCAAUAACUCCUCUUAUAAUUCAAUGACUCAGUACUCCAAUUAUAUAAUCAAUAACUCAUAAAUCAAUCUCUGAUUUAUUCCACAGACUCACUUCUCAGUAUUCAAAAACUAUCCAUUAUUCUUCAAUAACAAAGAAAACAAACAAACAAAGAGACAAAGAAGUAGCACCAAGCUUACCCCGGCUCAUGACUAUCUCAGUCUAGCGCUCCAACAAACUUCUACAAUUCCUAUAUAAUUACUCUUGAUUUCCAAAUUCUAACCGUAAUCUUAUAAUUAA